UGCCUACGGGAGGCUGCAGUGGGGGAUAUUGCGCAAUGGGGGAAACCCUGACGCAGCAACGCCGCGUGAAGGAAGAAGGUCUUCGGAUUGUAAACUUUUGUCUUAUGGGACGAAAAAAAUGACGGUACCAUAGGAGGAAGCCACGGCUAACUACGUGCCAGCAGCCGCGGUAAUACGUAGGUGGCGAGCGUUGUCCGGAAUUACUGGGUGUAAAGGGCGUGUAGGCGGAGACUUAAGUCAGAUGUGAAAUUCCCGGGCUCAACUCGGGCGCUGCAUUUGAAACUGAGUUUCUUGAGUGAUGGAGAGGAAAGCGGAAUUCCUAGUGUAGCGGUGAAAUGCGUAGAUAUUAGGAGGAACACCAGUGGCGAAGGCGGCUUUCUGGACAUUAACUGACGCUGAGGCGCGAAAGCGUGGGGAGCAAACAGGAUUAGAUACCCCUGUAGUCC
Molecule: ribosomal RNA, 446 nt
Filed under: uncultured Oscillospiraceae bacterium
Lineage: Bacteria; Bacillati; Bacillota; Clostridia; Eubacteriales; Oscillospiraceae
Description: bacterial SSU rRNA
Rfam family: Bacterial small subunit ribosomal RNA
Source: RNAcentral